Long non-coding RNA from Canis lupus familiaris (dog), 822 nucleotides. RefSeq lists it as uncharacterized. The transcript has 4 exons. Lineage: Eukaryota; Metazoa; Chordata; Mammalia; Carnivora; Canidae. The record is from RefSeq and is a predicted model, not a curated record.
CGCGGGUGCAGCUCCGCAGACGCGGCUCUCGGCCGCAGCCCGCGCUGCAGGUGCCUUUCGGCCGGCGCUGGGUGGGUGGAGGGUGUCCCUGCGGCUGCGGCGGCCCUUCGCGUUGGUCCCGAGCCGACUCGAGCCGGGCCGCAGCGUCUCCUCCUGUCCCCGCCGCGACGGUCCCGGUGCCCCGGAUGAGCCCACUGUGUGCAGAAGUGUCAUGGUUGUUGUAUCAGGAACAUUCUAGACCCCAGUGUCCUUGAGUUUGGAGAAAGAUGAGAUCACAUUGGAACCCAAACACCUGUUGUGACCACCUGCCCUGUGGCGUCGUCCUUACUCUAGGAGGGCUGCCUUGGAUCUGGAGAUUGUUGGAGGAAUUCUGAGGGGAUGGAGGCACUGGUGCUCUCGGAUUGACCUUGGUCCCAGCUGUCCUGGAGGGACCUCAUCAUGAUUGUCGUUUGGGUGGAUCAUGGACAUUGGAGUAGCAUAAUGAAGAAAGCUGUUGCCGUGUGAACGUUGCCAGACCUUCUCACCAUGUUGCCUCAGCAAAGCAUGGAAGGGCUUUUCUCUCUGUGUAAGCAGGCCAGAGGGAAAGCCCUGGGACCCUGGAAGCUUGAGGUGUGGAGCCAGAGACUUGAGCUGGCUCUGCCGUUCCCCCCUGCAGGAGUCAGAAUGCCAUGGACCAGGAAGACUGGUUUGCUUCGACCUGGGCCAGGUUGUCCAGCGGCAUCCAUGUCUCCCCACCUUCUCCUCCUCUGACUUUUCAAGAGUUUUCAGCACUGUGCAUCCUUGUCCUCUCACCUGCCUAAUAAAUCUUGAAACUACCCUGAA